UACGUAGGGUGCGAGCGUUAAUCGGAAUUACUGGGCGUAAAGCGUGCGCAGGCGGUCUGUUAAGACCGAUGUGAAAUCCCGUCGGUCUAACCUGGGAACUGCAUUGGUGACUGGCAGGCUUUGAGUGUGGCAGAGGGAGGUAGAAUUCCACGUGUAGCAGUGAAAUGCGUAGAGAUCGGGAAGAAUACCUGUGGCGAAGGCGGCCAGCUGGGCCAGAUCCGACACUGAGGCGCGAAAGCGUGGGGAGCAACAGG
This 254-nucleotide ribosomal RNA is filed under the name uncultured bacterium. RNAcentral's name for it is "partial 16S ribosomal RNA". It matches the Rfam family "Bacterial small subunit ribosomal RNA", at positions 524 to 775 of the family's 1533-position model. The record is from RNAcentral.